Molecule: ribosomal RNA, 498 nt
Filed under: uncultured bacterium
Lineage: Bacteria
Description: bacterial SSU rRNA
Rfam family: Bacterial small subunit ribosomal RNA
Source: RNAcentral
AGAGUUUGAUCCUGGCUCAGGAUGAACGCUAGCGGCAGGCUUAACACAUGCAAGUCGAGGGGCAGCAGACCACUUCGGUGGUGCUGGCGACCGGCGCACGGGUGAGUAUCGCGUUUGUAACCUACCUCUGACUGGAGGAUAGCUCCCGGAAACGGGAAUUAAUACUCCAUAAUAUUUAAACAUGGCAUCAUGUUUUCAUAAAAGCUCCGGCGGUCAGAGAUGGGCAUGCGUGACAUUAGCUAGUUGGUAAGGUAACGGCUUACCAAGGCUACGAUGUCUAGGGGGUCUGAGAGGAUGAUCCCCCACACUGGUACUGAGACACGGACCAGACUCCUACGGGAGGCAGCAGUGAGGAAUAUUGGGCAAUGGACGCAAGUCUGACCCAGCCAUGCCGCGUGCAGGAUGACGGCCCUAUGGGUUGUAAACUGCUUUUAUACAGGAAGAAACCCUCUGACGUGUCAGAGGUUGACGGUACUGUACGAAUAAGCAUCGCUAACU